Molecule: ribosomal RNA, 481 nt
Filed under: uncultured Acaulospora
Lineage: Eukaryota; Fungi; Glomeromycota; Glomeromycetes; Diversisporales; Acaulosporaceae
Description: SSU rRNA
Rfam family: Eukaryotic small subunit ribosomal RNA
Source: RNAcentral
AGCAGCCGCGGUAAUUCCAGCUCCAAUAGCGUAUAUUAAAGUUGUUGCAGUUAAAAAGCUCGUAGUUGAAUUUCGGGGUUCAUACGUUGGUCGGGCUUUUUGGUCUGUACUGGCGUAAUGGAUUCCUACCUUCUGAAUAACCGGCAUGCCAUUAAUUUGGUGCGCCGGGGAAGCAGGACUGUUACCUUGAAAAAAUUAGAGUGCUUAAAGCAGGCUAUCGCCUGAAUACAUUAGCAUGGAAUAAUGAAAUAGGACGGCAUGGUUCUAUUUUGUUGGUUUCUAGGAUCACCGUAAUGAUUAAUAGGGAUAGUUGGGGGCAUUAGUAUUCAAUUGUCAGAGGUGAAAUUCUUGGAUUUAUUGAAGACUAACUUCUGCGAAAGCAUUUGCCAAGGAUGUUUUCAUUAAUCAAGAACGAAAGUUAGGGGAUCGAAGACGAUCAGAUACCGUCGUAGUCUUAACCAUAAACUAUGCCGACUAGGGA